This 468-nucleotide ribosomal RNA is filed under the name uncultured bacterium. RNAcentral describes it as "partial 16S ribosomal RNA". It matches the Rfam family "Bacterial small subunit ribosomal RNA", at positions 28 to 507 of the family's 1533-position model. The record is from RNAcentral.
GACGAACGCUGGCGGCGUGCUUAACACAUGCAAGUCGAACGGAAAGGCCCUGCUUUUGUGGGGUGCUCGAGUGGCGAACGGGUGAGUAACACGUGAGUAACCUGCCCUUGACUUUGGGAUAACUUCAGGAAACUGGGGCUAAUACCGGAUAGGAGCUCCUGCCGCAGGGUGGGGGUUGGAAAGUUUCGGCGGUUGGGGAUGGACUCGCGGCUUAUCAGCUUGUGGGGGGGGUAGUGGCUUACCAAGGCUUUGACGGGUAGCCGGCCUGGGAGGGGGACCGGCGUCAUUGGGCCUGCGGUAGGGACCAGACUGCUACGGGGGGCAGCAGUGGGGAAUAUUGCCCAAUGGGCGGGCGCCUGAUGCGGCGACGCCGCGUGCGGGAUGACGGCUUUCGGGUUGUGAACCGCUUUCGCCUGUGACGAAGCGUGAGUGACGGUAAUGGGUAAAGAAGCACCGGCUAACUACGUG